CUACGGGGUGCAGCAGUGAGGAAUAUUGCACAAUGGGGGAAACCCUGAUGCAGCAACGCCGCGUGGAGGAUGACGCAUUUCGGUGUGUAAACUCCUUUUAUCAGAGAAGAAAAUGACGGUAUCUGAUGAAUAAGCUCCGGCUAACUCCGUGCCAGCAGCCGCGGUGAAUACGGAGGGAGCAAGCGUUAUUCGGAAUCACUGGGCGUAAAGGACGCGUAGGCGGGUUUUUAAGUCAGGUGUGAAAUCCUAUGGCUCAACCAUAGAACUGCACUUGAAACUGGGGACCUAGAGUAUGGAAGGGGCAGGUGGAAUUAGUGGUGUAGGGGUAAAAUCCGUAGAUAUCACUAGGAAUACCGAAAGCGAAGGCGACCUGCUGGGACAUUACUGACGCUGAGGCGUGAAAGCGUGGGGAGCAAACAGGAUUAGAUACCCCGGUAGUC
Molecule: ribosomal RNA, 440 nt
Filed under: uncultured bacterium
Lineage: Bacteria
Description: partial 16S ribosomal RNA
Rfam family: Bacterial small subunit ribosomal RNA
Source: RNAcentral